Molecule: transfer RNA, 51 nt
Filed under: Bombus hortorum
Lineage: Eukaryota; Metazoa; Arthropoda; Insecta; Hymenoptera; Apidae
Description: tRNA-Trp
Source: RNAcentral
UAAAUAUUAAAUUUAAAAAUUGGAAUUCAAAUCAAAAUGUAGUAUAUUUAA